AUCAAACAUUUCAGUUAUAUCAACACUCUGAGGGGUCGUUUGGUUGGAUGUAGUUGUAGAAACAGUGUAGUUGGAAAUACAUGCAGUUGUAAAUGCUGUAGUUGUAACUACACCUAGUCUGUUUGGUUUUAUACAGUUGUAACUGCUGCAGUUACAUUUUUUCUGUUUGGUAAUAUGAAGAUGAUAAUUAUAUUUGUGAAUUUUAUCACCUCUUCAGAUAGAGUGGUGAGAUUACCUUCACUAUGCAUAAAUAAUUGUAUAAUUUUAUUAAUCAUUUAAACUUACUAUUUAUAAAUAAAUAAAUAGAUAUGUAUAAUAUUUUUAUAUUUUUCAACAAUUCUUCAAUUUAUUAAUGGACACAUUUAAAAUUUUCAAUUUAUUUAAUUUUAANUCAUGCUGGGACGCCGAGCUUAUUUUUACAGCAGAGUCUAGGCUGUUUCGGGUUGUCGGGUGCCGUCGUGGUGGACGGUGGACCCAGAUUCCUAUUUUUG
Molecule: long non-coding RNA, 491 nt
Filed under: Ananas comosus (pineapple)
Lineage: Eukaryota; Viridiplantae; Streptophyta; Magnoliopsida; Poales; Bromeliaceae
Description: long non-coding RNA (ACOM_LNC032657)
Source: RNAcentral